GGACGCAGUCUGUAUUUUAUCAUCUCACACCCAAACAAAUGAGAGAGUAGCCUGUGAGAGACGAAACUGAUGUGGCGCCGCUUCACUUGACAGCGCGGGAAGGAUCACGGAAGAUCCAUCGAGAACAGAUAGACUACUAAUAACUGUAUGGAUGAACGUGCUUAAGAUCCAACACUGAGCCACAUCAUACCAAGCUAAGACGAAUGACGCAUCAUCAAGUUGAACCUCUGACUACAGAAUGCACAGUCCCAGGGGACAGAAACUGUGACACACUCAGCACAGUCAACCAUGAAUCAUAGUUGUGUGGGGUUUAUGAAGUGCAAUCUGCUCUCACGUCACAAUCGAGUUGCAUUGUGGGAUAUGGAACUGCCUGAAGCAUACAUCAGAGUAGGCUCACUCCCUCUGUCAAAAUCGAGGGAUUGAGGGUCUGUCAACAGAUACUUCCCUCACUCACUUAACGAAGUGGAACGGAUUUCCAAAAUGCCGGUGGGGAUUCCCCCAACGGGAAGUGCUUAGGGGAGUUGGCGAGUGGAAGUUAAAAGUGAAGUGGAACGCAACCAUAGAAGGAGUAGUAGCCAUGAGAGGGGGGGCUAGUUCUCCAUGGAAUUGAUCUUCCAGAACGAUUCCUAAACACUCCAGGAAUUAUAGUCAGUCUUUCUGUAAGCCCGCUGGCUGGAUUACCUGUGUUUAUACUGUGGAACAUUUCCAUUUGGAUUUGUAUUGGACACAUCAUCUUCACAUUGGAUUAUGCUACAAAGACACUGUACAACGCUGUGCUACCAGGAUGUUUGUUAAUGCGGUAAGAGCGAUCCAUUUAUUCCUUUAUUGGAGAGAAUAUCAGGUACACAGAGAGACCGAGACUCCAUUCAUGGUACACUGCUACUCCAGUUUCUGUGUGUGUGUGUGUGUGUGUGUGUGUGUAUAUACGGGGUUGGGGAGUAACGAAAUACAUGUAAUGGGAUUAUGUAUUUAAAAUACAAAAUAUAAGUAACUGUAUUCCACUACAGUUACAAUUUAAAUCAUUAGUAUUUAAAAUACAGUUACAUUAAAAAAGUAUUUUGAUUACUUUGCAUUUUAUUGUCAUUUGUUUCAUUUAAUAUUUAGUCCUUUCAGAUGGAAAAAAUUAUACAUAUAAAUGAUGCAAUCCAAAGUGCAUUUGAACAGCAGUGAAACACUUUCUUAUGAAGUGUUACAUUCAUACGAGCAGACAGAGAAGUACAUUUGAAGUUAGUUUGGAGAAAUAGAAAUAAACCUUGUGUAAAUUGUCAGCUUUACACUAAGCUAAAAUGCUAUUUCUAGCCAUUUCACAUGCACGUUACCAGGCACGAUCAUAUAUUUUUUUUUAUCAAGAAAAUUCACGUUGGAUCAUAAUUACUUUUUUCUAGUAAGACCUUUGAUAUUAGGGCAAAAAUCUUAUUCUUGAUCAUUUUUGUAUUGUUUUCCUGUAAAAAUAUCUAAAAAUCAUUAAAACAAGAUCAGUUUGAUUUAUCUUGUUUUAGAAACAACACUGCAUAAGAUAUUUAGGUUUUUCAGAGAAUGUAUUUUUAACAUGUGUAUUUUGUCUUACUGUACUGGCAGAGUUUUUAUAGUCAAAACAAGUGGAAAAAAAUCUACCGGUGCUGAAGAAGUAAUCCAAAGUAUUUAGAAUGCGUUACUGACCUUGAGUAAUCUAACGGAAUACGUUACAAAUUACAUUUUACAGCAUGUAAUCUGUAGUGGAAUACAUUUCUAAAGUAACACUCCCAACCCUGUAUGUAUAAUAUAUAUAUAUAUCAUCGGUGAAGGGAAAGGGUUGUGAUUUAUUGUUUAUUGUGCACAUGUGUUUUCUUUGUAUAAUACAACUUACUCUGGGAUUCACAAGUACUUGGUUUAUUCUCAUUAUUAAUUUGAUUCUCCAUCUCAUACAAGCAGAGGUGUAAAGAGUACCUGAAAACCAUACUUGAGUAAAAGUACAGAUACCUUACUGUAAAAAUGACUCCAUUACAAGUUACAAGUCACCAAUUCCAAUAUGACUUGAGUAAAAGUCUUAAAGUAUCCGAUUUUAAAAGUACUUAAGUAUUUUACUCAUACUGAAUGUAGGCUCAAAGAUGCACUAGUCCUCAACACCAAGAAAUAUGUCAGUGAAAAACAAGAAACGGUUUAUUUAUGAGGUUUUAUUUCCUAAUAUAGAAAUGAAAUUGGACACCUCAGUAUUUCAACAUGGCAGAACAAAACCCAAAUCAAACAAGUCAGUCUCAGUCAAACUCAAGUGUUCAAAAAAGGCAUAAGUAAAACAAUUUUUUCAAAAAGGUCUUUUCAGUAUACAAUGGACAAAUCAAAUAAAAAAAGUAAAAUCAAAUAUUCACAGCUGACUUUGAUGUACCUCUCAGUCUCAGAGGGGGGCAUAUUUUUAUUCAACUUCAACAAAAGCUGGUUCUCAAAGUUCUUGGAACUUAUUCUAGCUCUUUUUGGACUGAAAAUGAGGCCAGCACUGCUAAAAAGUCGCUCGCAAGCAGCAGAUGCAGGUAGGGGAGUGUUGAGCCUUAAUGACAACUUCAAUAGAGGUGAGAAGGUUUUCAGGACACCCAUGUCGUCACCAGCACA
This is a long non-coding RNA of Myxocyprinus asiaticus (Chinese sucker), 2583 nucleotides long. RefSeq lists it as uncharacterized. The record is from RefSeq and is a predicted model, not a curated record. The transcript has 3 exons. NCBI's taxonomy places the organism in Eukaryota, Metazoa, Chordata, Actinopteri, Cypriniformes, Catostomidae.